UGGGGAAUAUUGCACAAUGGGCGAAAGCCUGAUGCAGCAACGCCGCGUGAGUGAUGAAGGCCUUCGGGUUGUAAAGCUCUGUCUUUUGGGACGAUAAUGACGGUACCAAAGGAGGAAGCCACGGCUAACUACGUGCCAGCAGCCGCGGUAAUACGUAGGUGGCAAGCGUUGUCCGGAUUUACUGGGCGUAAAGGAUGCGUAGGCGGAUUUUUAAGUGAGAUGUGAAAACCCUAAGCUUAACUUGGGGACUGCAUUUCAUACUGGAAAUCUAGAGUGCGGGAGAGGAGAAUGGAAUUCCUAGUGUAGCGGUGAAAUGCGUAGAGAUUAGGAAGAACACCAGUGGCGAAGGCGAUUCUCUGGACCGUAACUGACGCUGAGGCAUGAAAGCGUGGGUAGCAAACAGGAUUAGAUACCCUGGUAGUCCACGCCGUAAACGAUGAGUACUAGGUGUAGGAGGUAUCGACCCCUUCUGUGCCGCAGUUAACACAAUAAGUACUCCCGCCUGGGAAGUACGAUCGCAAGAUUAAAACUUAAAUGAAUUGACGGGGUCAUAGCUGUUUCCU
Molecule: ribosomal RNA, 563 nt
Filed under: uncultured bacterium
Lineage: Bacteria
Description: partial 16S ribosomal RNA
Rfam family: Bacterial small subunit ribosomal RNA
Source: RNAcentral